RNAcentral lists this transfer RNA (68 nucleotides) under Neomaskellia andropogonis. Its description in RNAcentral is "tRNA-Leu". The record is from RNAcentral. Lineage: Eukaryota; Metazoa; Arthropoda; Insecta; Hemiptera; Aleyrodidae.
AUUAAAUUAUCAUAAAUCAAUGUUUUAAACUUAGAAUUUAAAUAAGCAAAUUUUAUUUGCAUUUAAUA